CUCGGCCACUUUCAGCGCUGCCCUCCCAUUAUUCCUCCGCUAUUGGUCGGAGACGCGAUCAGGACACGCCCACUUCUAACUGCGAUUGGGACACAGCCGCGGCGGGGUUAUGCUAGGCUAACGCUGUGUGCUAAAAGACAGGAUCCGACACAAACCACUUUACCCCAGUCAAAGAUCGGAAAGACUUUUCACCUUUAUCAUGGCGGAUUCAGAUGUAGGUACCGCGCAAAAAGCGGACAGCUCUGCAGACCCGUAUGAGAGAGCAGUGAAGUAUCUGGAGAGCCAUAACAUUCUGCAGAUAUUUCAGGAAAUCACAGAGAGCCUGGUUUACGACAGACCUGAUGACCCCCUGCAGUUUAUGUUAGAG
Ictalurus punctatus (channel catfish) is the source of this 367-nucleotide long non-coding RNA. The record is from Ensembl. NCBI's taxonomy places the organism in Eukaryota, Metazoa, Chordata, Actinopteri, Siluriformes, Ictaluridae.